This 271-nucleotide ribosomal RNA is filed under the name uncultured bacterium. RNAcentral's name for it is "partial 16S ribosomal RNA". It matches the Rfam family "Bacterial small subunit ribosomal RNA", at positions 28 to 269 of the family's 1533-position model. The record is from RNAcentral.
GAUGAACGCUGGCGGCGUGCUUAAACACAUGCAAAGUCGAAACGGAGUGCCUUUGAAAAGAGGAUUCGUCCAAAUUGAUAAGGUUACUUAGUGGCGGACGGGUGAGUAAACGCGUGAGGAACCUGCCUUGGAGUGGGGAAUAAACACAGUGAAAAAUUGUGCUAAAUACCGCAUAAAUGCAGUUGGGCCGCAUGGCUCUGACUGCCAAAAGAUUUAUCGCUCUGAGAUGGCCUCGCGUCUGAUUAGCUAGUUGGUGGGGUAACGGCCCACC